This 253-nucleotide ribosomal RNA is filed under the name uncultured bacterium. RNAcentral describes it as "partial 16S ribosomal RNA". It matches the Rfam family "Bacterial small subunit ribosomal RNA", at positions 524 to 776 of the family's 1533-position model. The record is from RNAcentral.
GACAGAGGGUGCUAGCGUUGUUCUGAAUUACUGGGCGUAAAGGGCGCGUAGGCGGCCCGUUUAGUCGGGUGUGAAAUCCCAAGGCUCAACCUUGGAACUGCAUUCGAUACUGGCGGGCUAGAGACCGGAAGAGGUGGGUGGAAUACCCAGUGUAGAGGUGAAAUUCGUAGAUAUUGGGUGGAACACCGGUGGCGAAGGCGGCUCACUGGUCCGGUUCUGACGCUGAGGAGCGAAAGCGUGGGGAGCGAACAGG